GGAUGCGAUCAUACCAGCACUAAAGCACCGGAUCCCAUCAGAACUCCGAAGUUACGCGUGCUUGGGCGAGAGUAGUACUAGGAUGGGUGACCUCCUGGGAAGUCCUCGUGUUGCAUUCC
RNAcentral lists this ribosomal RNA (119 nucleotides) under Sorghum bicolor (sorghum). The record is from RNAcentral. Lineage: Eukaryota; Viridiplantae; Streptophyta; Magnoliopsida; Poales; Poaceae. RNAcentral also lists the same sequence under 2 other names.